UGAAUGGAUGGAUCGUUCGUGCGAUGCUUGCUUGCUUGCUUUGUUUCCUGACACGCCGAUGGAGAUUGCUUGCUUGCUUGCUUGCUUGCUUUAUAUGAGAGCAAGCAGUGGAUGGAUCGCCUGCAAGAAGAGGGAGAGAGUUCGCAGGUGUUCCAGUGUCUUCGCAAGCUUUCCCGGCGGCUCUUCGGGAGCCUUCGCCUCAUCUCAUGUCUCUGUGGCGGUGGGGC
RNAcentral lists this long non-coding RNA (227 nucleotides) under Sorghum bicolor (sorghum). RNAcentral describes it as "long non-coding RNA (SBIC_LNC009802)". Lineage: Eukaryota; Viridiplantae; Streptophyta; Magnoliopsida; Poales; Poaceae. The record is from RNAcentral.